This 588-nucleotide ribosomal RNA is filed under the name Neofusicoccum parvum. RNAcentral's name for it is "eukaryotic LSU rRNA". The stretch from base 219 to 372 matches the Rfam family "5.8S ribosomal RNA". Lineage: Eukaryota; Fungi; Ascomycota; Dothideomycetes; Botryosphaeriales; Botryosphaeriaceae. The record is from RNAcentral.
AACAAGGUUUCCGUAGGUGAACCUGCGGAAGGAUCAUUACCGAGUUGAUUCGAGCUCCGGCUCGACUCUCCCACCCCAUGUGUACCUACCUCUGUUGCUUUGGCGGGCCGCGGUCCUCCGCACCGACCCCCGUUCGGGGGGCCGGCCAGCGCCCGCCAGAGGACCACAAAACUCCAGUCAGUAAACGUCGCAGUCUGAGAAACAAGUUAAUAAACUAAAACUUUCAACAACGGAUCUCUUGGUUCUGGCAUCGAUGAAGAACGCAGCGAAAUGCGAUAAGUAAUGUGAAUUGCAGAAUUCAGUGAAUCAUCGAAUCUUUGAACGCACAUUGCGCCCCUUGGUAUUCCGAGGGGCAUGCCUGUUCGAGCGUCAUUUCAACCCUCAAGCUCUGCUUGGUAUUGGGCUCCGUCCUCUGUGGACGCGCCUCGAAGACCUCGGCGGUGGCGUCUUGCCUCAAGCGUAGUAGAAAACACCUCGCUUUGGAGCGCACGGCGUCGCCCGCCGGACGAACCUUUGAAUUUUUCUCAAGGUUGACCUCGGAUCAGGUAGGGAUACCCGCUGAACUUAAGCAUAUCAAUAAGCGGAGGA